AAAGAGGGCUCCUGCCGUGACCAGCACACGUAGGGCAGCGCCCUUGCUCUACAUACAGAAUCAACAUCAAGAGAUUUUGGAAACAUAAUUUUUCAGCAGCAGGGCAGCUGGUGAUUGUUGGUCCUGGUUCACCU
This is a small nuclear RNA of Sorex araneus (European shrew), 134 nucleotides long. NCBI's taxonomy places the organism in Eukaryota, Metazoa, Chordata, Mammalia, Eulipotyphla, Soricidae. The record is from Ensembl.